GUAGCCAAUCAGAGACCAAGACACAGAAUCAGCCAAUAGUCAGGCCCGUCUCUCAACGUGUGGGUUUUGUUUGUACAUGGCGAGGGAAAAGGCCGCGCGUGCACUGUGAGCUCGCUUUAUUUUGUAUACGCCGCUGGAACAACUACUUAAUCAUGGAGAGUCCGGAGGGUGAACGUAAUAGUCUAACUCCAAGGUCCAGGUCUAGAUCAAGGUCUCGCUUGGAGUCGGCUUCAAAUUCUCCAUCGCACCGCCGAGUCACCUCUCAGUCCCGUUCUCCACCUCCUCGCAGAAGGUCCUUCUCAAGGUCUCGCUCUCGUACACCUCGCCGUCACCGAUCUCGUAGUGGGUCUCCAAGAAAUGGGCAUGACAGUCGCCGCUAUCGGCGAUCUCGCUCCCCUCGUUCUAGAUCUCCCAUGUCCAAUCGUCGCAGACACAUUGGUACCCGCGACAACCCCGAGCCUUCCAAAUGUCUUGGAGUGUUUGGCCUCAGUGUAUACACAACUGAAAGACAGCUGCACAGCAUCUUUGACAAAUUUGGACCUCUAGAGAAAGUGCAAGUUGUACUGGAUUCAAAGACUGGAAAGUCAAGAGGAUUUGCCUUUGUGUACUUCGAGUCUCAGAAAGAUGCAACUGAAGCCAAGGAUGAAUGCACUGGCAUGGAAAUCGAUGGCCGUAGAAUUCGAGUAGAUUACUCAAUCACCAAACGUCCCCACACACCUACUCCAGGGAUCUACAUGGGGAGACCCACCACCCGUGGUCAUGACCGAGGGUAUGGUGGUCGAGGUGGCGGAGGGUACAGAGGAGACAGGUACCGCUCUCCCUCACCUCGUUACAGACGUUCCAGCGGGGGUGGUCGCCGUGACUAUUAUGAUCGUGGGUAUGUACCCAGCCUGGGAAUUACACCACAGCUCAAGCCACUACCAAACAAAAAGUAUACAUGUGGAGGCAAGCUAGUUAAGCAAGUGUACAGAAGCCUGUUGUAUAUGUCUCAAGGCUGAAGAUGAUGAACCACAAGUUAUUGGUGAAGGUUGUUAAGCAUUGAAUGACAAGUAUUAAGGUUCGUUAAGAUCAAGUUCCUUUGGCUGUUGGCAAGUCCACAUGAAACACAAUGUAAUUUGAAAGACAAGUUUGAAUUGAGGAUUCUCUAUAUAAGGAGGUACGAACGUGGUGGUGACCGAAGUUACUAUCGUAGUGGGUAUGACCGCUACGACCGCCCGCCACACUAUGAUCGCUAUGACAGAUAUGAUCGUUCUUAUGACAAGUACGAUCGCUAUGAACGGUCCAGAUCCCGCU
Molecule: RNA transcript, 1293 nt
Organism: Portunus trituberculatus (swimming crab)
Lineage: Eukaryota; Metazoa; Arthropoda; Malacostraca; Decapoda; Portunidae
Gene name: transformer-2 protein homolog alpha-like
Exons: 7
Source: RefSeq, a predicted model, not a curated record